GCAAGGAUGGGCCAAGAUGUGGGUGGUGCUGAUGGACAAAGAGGCAGUGACUGGCUGGAUGACAAUGAGUAUGGGGGAAAUCGAAUGAAUGGAUAGAAAUGGUGAAUUCUUUUAUUUCCAUGUGUGGGUGGCACGUAAUAAAUAGAUGGCAUCAAACCACCUACAAAUGUUUUCUACUACUAUUUUCAAAGAGAGGACUAUUAGAGACAACGCACCAACAUAUUGUGAAUCGAAGCCAACUUAUUAGGAAUAAGCGAAUAAUAACGUGAGAGCAAGAAGGACCCCAAGCAACACACUAGCAUUUUU
RNAcentral lists this long non-coding RNA (306 nucleotides) under Setaria viridis. RNAcentral describes it as "long non-coding RNA (SVIR_LNC010770)". The record is from RNAcentral. Lineage: Eukaryota; Viridiplantae; Streptophyta; Magnoliopsida; Poales; Poaceae.